RNAcentral lists this unclassified non-coding RNA (397 nucleotides) under fungal sp. Its description in RNAcentral is "partial internal transcribed spacer region". The stretch from base 1 to 46 matches the Rfam family "Eukaryotic small subunit ribosomal RNA", at positions 1786 to 1831 of the family's 1831-position model. The record is from RNAcentral. Lineage: Eukaryota; Fungi.
AAGUCGUAACAAGGUUUCCGUAGGUGAACCUGCGGAAGGAUCAUUAACACGUAUCCACGUUAUCAACAAUUACCACGAACUGUGCUCCCUGCUGACUAAGUGAUUGUAGUUGUAAUCCGUUCUUGGUGGGUCGUCUCUUCGGAGAAGGCUGGCCGGCAUCAGCUGUCGUUCCUCGCAAGAGAGAGCGAGUCAAUCGAAUUUUCAGUAGGCUUACUAACUCUUACUUCGCGUGGAGCAAUCCAAUCCCUACCACCAUAGGGCCGGAGUAAGGACCCCAUACCAAUUUCACCCUAUUUUACCUAUUUGACUAAUUAUAUAUUCAUUUGGAGAAACCCUUAUGAAUUCUAAGAUUUAUCUUAACUAAGCACAACUCUUAGCAAUGGAUAUCUUGGUUCUC